UACAGAGGGUGCGAGCGUUAAUCGGAGUUACUGGGCGUAAAGGGCGCGUAGGCGGAUUGGUAAGUGAGAUGUGAAAUCCCUGGGCUUAACCUAGGAAUUGCAUUUUAGACUAUUGAUCUGGAGUACAUUAGAGGGUGGUGGAAUUUCCGGUGUAGCGGUGAAAUGCGUAGAGAUCGGAAGGAACAUCAGUGGCGAAGGCGACCACCUGGACUGUAACUGACGCUGAGGCGCGAAAGCGUGGGUAGCAAACAGG
RNAcentral lists this ribosomal RNA (253 nucleotides) under uncultured bacterium. Its description in RNAcentral is "partial 16S ribosomal RNA". It matches the Rfam family "Bacterial small subunit ribosomal RNA", at positions 524 to 776 of the family's 1533-position model. The record is from RNAcentral.